GAUGAACGCUGGCGGCGUGCUUAACACAUGCAAGUCGAACGGAAAGGCCCUGCUUUUGUGGGGUGCUCGAGUGGCGAACGGGUGCGUAACACGUGAGUAACCUGCCCUUGACUUUGGGAUAACUUCAGGAAACUGGGGCUAAUACCGGAUAGGAGCUCCUGUUGCAUGGUGGGGGUUGGAAAGUCUCGGCGGUUGGGGAUGGACUCGCGGCUUAUCAGCUUGUUGGUGGGGUAGUGGCUUACCCAGGCUUUGACGGGUAGCCGGCCUGAGAGGGUGACCGGCCACAUUGGGACUGAGAGACGGCCCAGACUCCUACGGGAGGCAGCAGUGGGGAAUAUUGCACAAUGGGCGGAAGCCUGAUGCAGCAACGCCGCGUGCGGGAUGACGGCCUUCGGGUUGUAAACCGCUUUCGCCUGUGACGAAGCGUGAGUGACGGUAAUGGGUAAAGAAGCACCGGCUAACUACGUG
RNAcentral lists this ribosomal RNA (468 nucleotides) under uncultured bacterium. Its description in RNAcentral is "partial 16S ribosomal RNA". It matches the Rfam family "Bacterial small subunit ribosomal RNA", at positions 28 to 507 of the family's 1533-position model. The record is from RNAcentral.